UAUUUGUAAGCAUAAUAAUUCUAAAUAUCAAACUUUUCUUCCAAGCUAAUCUCCCUUGUUAACUUCCGUCUUGAACAGAUAUUUCUGAUCAAGAUGAGAGCAAAGUGGAGGAAGAAGCGCAUGAGGAGGUUAAAGCGCAAAAGGAGAAAGAUGAGGGCAAGAUCAAAGUAGACAGCCCUCCCCUUCACAUUUCAAGUUAAAAUCAGGAACAGGGAAGGACUUGGUGCGAAAGACAUGUGACUAUAAACCCCAUUAAUUAAUGAAGGAGAAGAAGAAGAGGAGGAAAAAGAGAGGAAGAAGAUAAAUGUGAAGCGUGGCCAGUCAUCUGUUCAGGCUUCACAUGUCGCGUGGCAUUUCACACUGGGGACAGUAGACCUAGACAUUCACUCAUCUUCAUCAUCAGUAAUCAUCAUCACCAUUAAGGCCGUGUAGCUGGACACCCAGGGAGAUUGUGAAAUUGACCGCUGAGUGUUCUCUACUUUGGCUUCCUGAUACUGUCUGCUGAAGCUCCCGGCUAUAAGCAACCUUUUCUGUUCUUGAUUUGUAUUUGAGUAAUUAAAAAAAUUGGAAAAUUG
Saccostrea cuccullata (small rock oyster) is the source of this 575-nucleotide long non-coding RNA. RefSeq lists it as uncharacterized. The transcript has 4 exons. NCBI's taxonomy places the organism in Eukaryota, Metazoa, Mollusca, Bivalvia, Ostreida, Ostreidae. The record is from RefSeq and is a predicted model, not a curated record.